RNAcentral lists this ribosomal RNA (496 nucleotides) under uncultured bacterium. RNAcentral describes it as "partial 16S ribosomal RNA". It matches the Rfam family "Bacterial small subunit ribosomal RNA", at positions 29 to 507 of the family's 1533-position model. The record is from RNAcentral.
AUGAACGCUGGCGGCGUGCCUAAUACCUGCAAGUCGAGCGAACAGACGAGGAGCUUGCUCCUCUGACGUUAGCGGCGGACGGGUGAGUAACACGUGGAUAACCUACCUAUAAGACUGGGAUAACUUCGGGAAACCGGAGCUAAUACCGGAUAAUAUAUUGAACCGCAUGGUUCAAUAGUGAAAGACGGUUUUGCUGUCACUUAUAGAUGGAUCCGCGCCGCAUUAGCUAGUUGGUAAGGUAACGGCUUACCAAGGCAACGAUGCGUAGCCGACCUGAGAGGGUGAUCGGCCACACUGGAACUGAGACACGGUCCAGACUCCUACGGGAGGCAGCAGUAGGGAAUCUUCCGCAAUGGGCGAAAGCUUGACGGAGCAACGCCGCGUGAGUGAUGAAGGUCUUCGGAUCGUAAAACUCUGUUAUUAGGGAAGAACAAAUGUGUAAGUAACUAUGCACGUCUUGACGGUACCGAAUCAGAAAGCCACGGCUAACUACGUG